AUUGAACGCUGGCGGCAUGCUUUACACAUGCAAGUCGAACGGUAACAGGGUGCUUGCACCGCUGACGAGUGGCGAACGGGUGAGUAAUGCGUCGGAACGUGCCGAGUCGUGGGGGAUAACGCAGCGAAAGUUGUGCUAAUACCGCAUACGUACUGAGGUAGAAAGUGGGGGACCUUCGGGCCUCACGCUAUUCGAGCGGCCGACGUCUGAUUGGCUAGUAGGUGAGGUAAGAGCUCACCUAGGCGACGAUCAGUAGCGGGUCUGAGAGGAUGAGGCGCCCCACUGGGACUGAGACACGGCCCAGAAUCCUACGGGAGGCAGCAGUGGGGAAUUUUGGACAAUGGGCGCAAGCCGGAUCCAGCCAAGCCGCGUGUCUGAAGAAGGCCUUCGGGUUGUAAAGGACUUUUGUCAGGGAGGAAUCCUAGUGGCUAAUAACUGCUGGGGAUGACAGUACCUGAAGAAUAAGCACCGGCUAACUACGUGCCAGCCGCCGCAGUAA
This 499-nucleotide ribosomal RNA is filed under the name uncultured bacterium. RNAcentral describes it as "partial 16S ribosomal RNA". It matches the Rfam family "Bacterial small subunit ribosomal RNA", at positions 30 to 523 of the family's 1533-position model. The record is from RNAcentral.